CCUACGGGAGGCAGCAGUGAGGAAUAUUGGUCAAUGGGCGUAAGCCUGAACCAGCCAAGUCGCGUGAGGGAUGAAGGUUCUAUGGAUCGUAAACCUCUUUUAUAAGGGAAUAAAGUGUGGGACGUGUCCUGUUUUGUAUGUACCUUAUGAAUAAGGAUCGGCUAACUCCGUGCCAGCAGCCGCGGUAAUACGGAGGAUCCGCGCGUUAUCCGGAUUUAUUGGGUUUAAAGGGUGCGUAGGCGGCCUUUUAAGUCAGCGGUGAAAGUCUGUGGCUCAACCAUAGAAUUGCCGUUGAAACUGGGAGGCUUGAGGAUGUUUGAGGCAGGCGGAAUGCGUGGUGUAGCGGUGAAAUGCAUAGAUAUCACGCAGAACCCCGAUUGCGAAGGCAGCCUGCCAAGCCAUGACUGACGCUGAUGCACGAAAGCGUGGGGAUCAAACAGGAUUAGAUACCCCAGUAGUC
Molecule: ribosomal RNA, 460 nt
Filed under: uncultured bacterium
Lineage: Bacteria
Description: partial 16S ribosomal RNA
Rfam family: Bacterial small subunit ribosomal RNA
Source: RNAcentral